UCCCUAUCUACUAUUCUAAAACUUUAAUUGGGGUUGUACAUAAUUUGGGUUUGGGUUUUUAAUUUAUCAGCACGCAAAUGUUAAAAGGAGGAAUGAACCCACUAUGAAUAAGUACUUUAAAAAUUCGCAAAAGCUACCCAGGAUUUUGGCUCUCUAGCACUUCAUGCCGGAAAUGGAUGACCUCCAUGUCCAUCAUGAGAUCCAGAUAUCUCUAAAAUACUUGAGACCCAUUGCUUGGUUCAGAUAUCCUUUGAUGUCUGUCAAGUAGGUGCUGAAUAAUAAACCUCCAAAUAAAGUUCACUCUAGCUAAUUCUUACGGGAAUAGUUCCAUAAUUCCAGAAUUUGGAACUAUACCUUCGGUAAAAAUCAUUGUCAAAGGUGGAAAGAAUUGCUUUCUUUUCUCGAUGCGUCAAAUUUAUGAACCUCCUAGGAAGAAGCGAGGGGAGUAAGGUAAGAUCAGAUGACAGAGGAAGAAAGACUGGACGGCUUUUGGUGGCCGUCAAGACACC
Molecule: long non-coding RNA, 509 nt
Filed under: Capsicum annuum
Lineage: Eukaryota; Viridiplantae; Streptophyta; Magnoliopsida; Solanales; Solanaceae
Description: long non-coding RNA (CANN_LNC010906)
Source: RNAcentral